CCUACGGGCGGCAGCAGUGGGGAAUAUUGCACAAUGGGCGCAAGCCUGAUGCAGCCAUGCCGCGUGUGUGAAGAAGGCCUUCGGGUUGUAAAGCACUUUCAGCGGGGAGGAAGGCGUUAAGGUUAAUAACCUUGGCGAUUGACGUUACCCGCAGAAGAAGCACCGGCUAACUCCGUGCCAGCAGCCGCGGUAAUACGGAGGGUGCAAGCGUUAAUCGGAAUUACUGGGCGUAAAGCGCACGCAGGCGGUCUGUCAAGUCGGAUGUGAAAUCCCCGGGCUCAACCUGGGAACUGCAUUCGAAACUGGCAGGCUAGAGGCUUGUAGAGGGGGGUAGAAUUCCAGGUGUAGCGGUGAAAUGCGUAGAGAUCUGGAGGAAUACCGGUGGCGAAGGCGGCCCCCUGGACAAAGACUGACGCUCAGGUGCGAAAGCGUGGGGAGCAAACAGGAUUAAAUACCCCGGUAGUC
This 465-nucleotide ribosomal RNA is filed under the name uncultured Klebsiella sp. Its description in RNAcentral is "bacterial SSU rRNA". It matches the Rfam family "Bacterial small subunit ribosomal RNA", at positions 338 to 795 of the family's 1533-position model. Lineage: Bacteria; Pseudomonadati; Pseudomonadota; Gammaproteobacteria; Enterobacterales; Enterobacteriaceae. The record is from RNAcentral.